UUUUUUUGGCACCCGGGGGUUUAGCCCCCAUUGAUUUUGUUUUUGUUGAUGUUUCCCAGGAGGCGGUUUAUCUUUUUGUUUCUCCUGGAGUUUUUUUUGUUCUUUUUUUUGUUUGUUGUUUGUUUGUUUGUUUGUUUUUUGUUAUUGUUUUGUUUUUGUUUUCUUGUUUAUUUGUUUGUCUUUAGUUAUUGUUAGUCCUUAUUUGUUGGUUGUUGUUAAGAAACGGACAGAGAACUGACAGUAUGAUUAUUCCUGUUGUAUAUUUGUUAAUGUUUCUGUCCAUUUAAAAUAUGAAUUAAAAAAAAAGAAAAGAAAUGAUGACCCAGUUCUCUGUUAAAUGAACCAUGUGUGAGUUCUUUUAUGAAAGAACUAGGGCUGUUGUCAUGCUCCUCGGCCUUUAACCCAGUGUUUUAUGUUUUUGGUGUUUUGAGUUAUGUAUAGCUAUUUAGUAUUAAAUAUCUUCAGUUUGAGUCUUAUUUACUUAGGGUUUCACCUCUUUAUAUUCCCUCAGUGUUUCCUGUCCUUUCAUUCUGUGUCAGUUCCUGUGUUUAGUUCUAUCUAUCUGCACUCUCCUGUUAGUUAUUGCUCCUCACGUCCUCUUUUAUUUAUAUGUCUUGCUCAUGCUCUUGACGAAGGCGGUCGCACUUUUUCUCCUCUCCUCCUCCUCCUCUCCCUUAGCUUCCCUGCUUAGCCUCUUGUGUCCUUGUCUAGUCUCGUGUUUUUUGUAUUACUUUUCCCUGGAACACUCUCUCACAGUCUGUUCUCUAAAACCUAAAAGAGGAAUUAUGGAUUGGAUCAACUGGUCCCUAAAUGCAAUUGACACCCCUUUCUCAACGAUAAGUUUGGCCCUGACUUAUCGAAGAAUUAAGAAAGCGGAACUGGCUGUUCAAACCCCCACAAGGCUGCCCGCUGGGAUUGAAACGAUGGGAAGAGGCAUGAGUUUCUCAAAAUGGGCUCAUUGAGUGCAGCACGGAUAAGAUCUUGGAGAAGCUAUGGCUGCUAUGAAUACUCAGAAUAAGAUCUCUGAGUGCAGACUGGAUUACAUCUCGGAAGGGCUCGCUCGGAAUAACACCUCUGAGCGCAAAUUGGAUGACAUCUCGGGGAGGCACACUGUCGUGAGUUCUCAGAAUUGGCUCCUUGAGCACAAGAAUGACAACAUCACAGAACGCAAGUAUGGCGAAGCUCGCGGCUCUCCAAUGGGAGAUUGAGAGACCAGUGUUGGACUGUAGAACUGCUUGGAAAUUCUAAAGUAAAAAGCACCAUCACUCAUGCGGAUACCCUCUCGGCGCCGGCUGCGGUCGCAAUGCUGGAGCCGAACAAAAACACCCUGAUAACGACCGUGUUUAGACUGUUCCUUCCCAUUCCAUGCAAGGCCACCUGGGUUGGCUAGAGGACUGUUUACUUAGCCUGGCAGGGCGAAGGACACUGUCUCAGCUGAACUCUGGACACGCACACACAUACAUAUACACUGAUUUGCACACACUCAUCCCCCCUCCCUUUCCAAACGCCUUUGACGCUUAUUCCCUUCCAAUCCUGACGGUGGAUCAAGGAGACCAGCGCAUAGGCUGCAGGCCCGGAUGUACUGUCUAAAUCGGCUGUUUCUCACCCUUUACCCACCCCUGUUGCUUGUCAUGUGUUUCUUUGGUGUAUUAAGAGUUUUUUUCAUGUGCUAUGUGCAGAGGUGUUUUUUUUCUGUUCUCAAACUGAUCUCCCUGUUGGAGCUCAGUCUGGGGGGAGUUAUUUUUUUUCUCCUUAUCUUUCCUCAUGUGGUGCUUUUUCCAUUGUUAUACCUCUCUCACCUGUCUUCCCCAUUUGAUGUUUUGUGUAAUGUAUGUAUGGUCGGAGGGUAAGAUGGCGCCGCCAUUACGUGCAAUAGGUCAGCAGCCUUAUGAAAUUUCCCCAUGUGGGACUAAUAAAGGUAUAUCAAAAUAUCAAAUAUCAAAUUUUGUGACCAUUUGUCUCUUGUGUUUAGCUUUACUUUCCUUGUCUCGUUACCUUGAUUUAGUUUACGUGUAUUUAGUUCCCCAACUGUGCCUCAUUCCCGAUUAGCCAUUAGUGUAUCUACGUGUAUUUAAAGCGUCAAUUUGCCUUAGCUCUUUGUCAUGCUGUACUGUAGUCUUCUGUUGCAUUCUCAGCCUGUUUUGGAUUUAGUUUCUUCUGGCUGUAGUCAUCAUUGUGAUUGUUGGUUCUCUCUGUUGAGAACCAACAUAAGCUCCUUGCUGGUUCUCACAUUUCUUGUGCAUACUAUGUGCUGAGAUUUUCACGGACCUUGUGUUUACGACUUGUUCACCACCUGCAAAUAAGUUUUUUUCUUUUUUGAUAUCUAUCUCCCUUUGAGUCUGCAUCUGGUUCCUCAUUCACCCACACACGAGAGCAGCACCCAACUAUUCACCUAUUAAGAUAUUUGUUAAUAGGUAUGUAUUCAGUUUUCUCAC
Molecule: long non-coding RNA, 2435 nt
Organism: Oreochromis aureus
Lineage: Eukaryota; Metazoa; Chordata; Actinopteri; Cichliformes; Cichlidae
Source: Ensembl